This 401-nucleotide unclassified non-coding RNA is filed under the name fungal sp. Its description in RNAcentral is "partial internal transcribed spacer region". Lineage: Eukaryota; Fungi. The record is from RNAcentral.
AUGUCGUAACAAGGUUUCCGUACGUGAACCUGCGGAAGGAUCAUUUACACGGUUAGAUUCACAAAAUUUGGAUUGUCAGUCUUAUUUUUCUUUAAUCGCCGCGCACCUUCUUAAACACGGACCUUUUCGGAAACCAGGCCAAUCGAGAGCAAGCUGCUUGAUUGAUGGGUGGCCUUCUCUCGGUUAACAUAAGACUUGGUUUUUGAAUCUCUGACGGUCCGUCAUCAAUCACCUGGAGCUUUUCAAACACGCCUGUUUCGUACUACUAGUCUGAAUCGUUCGUCUUUUUCUUUUCUUCUUUUGUGGAAGAAAAGAGAGAGAGAAGAGAUUAAGAGAGAGGGAUGGGAAAAACAAAAAAACAAAACUUUGAACAACUCUUAGCAACGGAUAUCUCGGUUCUC